RNAcentral lists this non-coding RNA (251 nucleotides) under Veillonella sp. Its description in RNAcentral is "T-box sequence". It matches the Rfam family "T-box leader". From Rfam's summary of the family: Uncharged tRNA acts as the effector for transcription antitermination of genes in the T-box leader family. T-boxes are found upstream of many aminoacyl-tRNA synthetase genes and some amino acid biosynthetic genes usually in Gram-positive bacteria. The record is from RNAcentral. Lineage: Bacteria; Bacillati; Bacillota; Negativicutes; Veillonellales; Veillonellaceae.
UUAUCAUCUGUGAACAGGAAGAGUAGCUAUACAAGUUCGGCUACAGCGAGUCGGGAAUGGUGGAAGCCCGGUGCAAGAAAGUAUAGUGAAUGGACCUGGGAGAUGUGGCCCGAACCAGUAGGUAGGCGUCACCGGUCAUCUCCGACCGUUACCAAAGGAGCGCGUAUCGCCUGUAUUGGGUAGGCCGUACGUAGUGAGCCGGGUCUUUUGACCAAUCGGGGUGGCACCGCGGAUUAACCUUCGUCCCUAUG